UUCCGGUUGAUCCUGCCAGAGGUUACUGCUAUCGGUGUUCGCCUAAGCCAUGCGAGUCAUAUGUUCUUCGUGAACAUGGCGUACUGCUCAGUAACACGUGGAUAACCUGCCCUUGGGUCCGGCAUAACCCCGGGAAACUGGGGAUAAUUCCGGAUAACGCAUAUAUGCUGGAAUGCUUUAUGCGUAAAAUGGAUUCGUCUGCCCAAGGAUGGGUCUGCGGCCUAUCAGGUAGUAGUGGGUGUAAUGUACCUACUAGCCGACGACGGGUACGGGUUGUGAGAGCAAGAGCCCGGAGAUGGAUUCUGAGACAUGAAUCCAGGCCCUACGGGGCGCAGCAGGCGCGAAAACUUUACAAUGCGGGAAACCGUGAUAAGGGGACACCGAGUGCCAGCAUCAUAUGCUGGCUGUCCGGGUGUGUAAAAUACACCUGUUAGCAAGGGCCGGGCAAGACCGGUGCCAGCCGCCGCGGUAACACCGGCGGCCCGAGUGGUGAUCGUGAUUAUUGGGUCUAAAGGGUCCGUAGCCGGUUUGGUCAGUCCUCCGGGAAAUCUGACGGCUCAACCGUUAGGCUUUCGGGGGAUACUGCCAGGCUUGGAACCGGGAGAGGUAAGAGGUACUACAGGGGUAGGUGUGAAAUCUUGUAAUCCCUGUGGGACCACCUGUGGCGAAGGCGUCUUACCAGAACGGGUUCGACGGUGAGGGACGAAAGCUGGGGGCACGAACCGGAUUAGAUACCCGGGUAGUCCCAGCCGUAAACGAUGCUCGCUAGGUGUCAGGCAUGGCGCGACCGUGUCUGGUGCCGCAGGGAAGCCGUGAAGCGAGCCACCUGGGAAGUACGGCCGCAAGGCUGAAACUUAAAGGAAUUGGCGGGGGAGCAC
This 878-nucleotide ribosomal RNA is filed under the name uncultured archaeon. Its description in RNAcentral is "bacterial SSU rRNA". It matches the Rfam family "Archaeal small subunit ribosomal RNA", at positions 1 to 879 of the family's 1478-position model. The record is from RNAcentral.